Molecule: small RNA, 118 nt
Filed under: Lachnoanaerobaculum umeaense
Lineage: Bacteria; Bacillati; Bacillota; Clostridia; Lachnospirales; Lachnospiraceae
Description: Ribosomal protein L10 leader
Rfam family: Ribosomal protein L10 leader
About the family: This family is a putative r-protein leader autoregulatory structure found in B. subtilis and other low-GC Gram-positive bacteria. It is located in the 5' untranslated regions of mRNAs encoding ribosomal proteins L10 and L12 (rplJ-rplL). A Rho-independent transcription terminator structure that is probably involved in regulation is included at the 3' end.
Source: RNAcentral
UAAAACGACCGUAGACAGUAGGUGCCUUUGGCUUAAAGCAAUGCCUACCGAGGAAGUGACUAAGUACGUUGAUGUAUUCUCACUCUCUGUCUGCAUGUCAGGGAGUUUUUUAAAUAGA